RNAcentral lists this transfer RNA (72 nucleotides) under Labilithrix sp. RNAcentral's name for it is "tRNA-Arg". It matches the Rfam family "tRNA". Rfam says of the family: Transfer RNA (tRNA) molecules are approximately 80 nucleotides in length. The record is from RNAcentral. Lineage: Bacteria; Pseudomonadati; Myxococcota; Polyangiales; Labilitrichaceae.
GUCCUCGUGGCCGAUCGGAUAGGCGCCGGUCUUCUAAACCGGCAUAGGCAGGUUCGACUCCUGCCGAGGACA